CCUACGGGAGGCAGCAGUGAGGAAUAUUGGUCAAUGGACGAGAGUCUGAACCAGCCAAGUAGCGUGAAGGAUGACUGCCCUAUGGGUUGUAAACUUCUUUUAUAUGGGAAUAAAAUGUUCCACGUGUGGGAUUUUGUAUGUACCAUAUGAAUAAGGAUCGGCUAACUCCGUGCCAGCAGCCGCGGUAAUACGGAGGAUCCGAGCGUUAUCCGGAUUUAUUGGGUUUAAAGGGAGCGUAGGUGGAUUGUUAAGUCAGUGGUGAAAGUUUGCGGCUCAACCGUAAAAUUGCAGUUGAAACUGGCAGGCUUGAGUACAGUAGAGGUAGGCGGAAUUCGUGGUGUAGCGGUGAAAUGCUUAGAGAUCACGAAGAACUCCGAUUGCGAAGGCAGCUCACUGGACUGCAACUGACACUGAGGCUCGAAAGUGUGGGUAUCAAACAGGAUUAGAUACCCUGGUAGUC
This 460-nucleotide ribosomal RNA is filed under the name uncultured bacterium. Its description in RNAcentral is "partial 16S ribosomal RNA". It matches the Rfam family "Bacterial small subunit ribosomal RNA", at positions 338 to 795 of the family's 1533-position model. The record is from RNAcentral.